RNAcentral lists this ribosomal RNA (410 nucleotides) under Azotobacter beijerinckii. RNAcentral's name for it is "bacterial SSU rRNA". It matches the Rfam family "Bacterial small subunit ribosomal RNA", at positions 1126 to 1533 of the family's 1533-position model. The record is from RNAcentral. Lineage: Bacteria; Pseudomonadati; Pseudomonadota; Gammaproteobacteria; Pseudomonadales; Pseudomonadaceae.
UCAUGGUGGGCACUCUAAGGAGACUGCCGGUGACAAACCGGAGGAAGGUGGGGAUGACGUCAAGUCAUCAUGGCCCUUACGGCCAGGGCUACACACGUGCUACAAUGGUCGGUACAGAGGGUUGCCAAGUCGCGAGGCGGAGCUAAUCCCAGAAAACCGAUCGUAGUCCGGAUCGCAGUCUGCAACUCGACUGCGUGAAGUCGGAAUCGCUAGUAAUCGCGAAUCAGAAUGUCGCGGUGAAUACGUUCCCGGGCCUUGUACACACCGCCCGUCACACCAUGGGAGUGGGUUGCUCCAGAAGUAGCUAGUCUAACCUUCGGGGGGACGGUUACCACGGAGUGAUUCAUGACUGGGGUGAAGUCGUAACAAGGUAGCCGUAGGGGAACCUGCGGCUGGAUCACCUCCUUAAU